CCUACGGGAGGCUGCAGUGAGGAAUCUUGGUCAAUGGACGAGAGUCUGAACCAGCCAAGUAGCGUGAAGGAUGACUGCCCUAUGGGUUGUAAACUUCUUUUAUAUGGGAAUAAAAUGUUCCACGUGUGGGAUUUUGUAUGUACCAUAUGAAUAAGGAUCGGCUAACUCCGUGCCAGCAGCCGCGGUAAUACGGAGGGUCCGAGCGUUAUCCGGAUUUAUUGGGUUUAAAGGGAGCGUAGGUGGAUUGUUAAGUCAGUUGUGAAAGUUUGCGGCUCAACCGUAAAAUUGCAGUUGAAACUGGCAGUCGUGAGUACAGUAGAGGUGGGCGGAAUUCGUGGUGUAGCGGUGAAAUGCUUAGAUAUCACGAAGAACUCCGAUUGCGAAGGCAGCUCACUGGACUGCAACUGACACUGAGGCUCGAAAGUGUGGGUAUCAAACAGGAUUAGAUACCCCUGUAGUC
Molecule: ribosomal RNA, 460 nt
Filed under: uncultured bacterium
Lineage: Bacteria
Description: partial 16S ribosomal RNA
Rfam family: Bacterial small subunit ribosomal RNA
Source: RNAcentral